UUAGUUGAGUUGAGUUGAGUAUACUGCAUCUAGAAGUGAGGAAAUCAUGCAUCCAGUGACAUUAACAUCCUUAACAAUUUCAUUUCCUAUCACAAAUAUACAAAAAUCUUUAUAGCUCAGUCAUGUGUCUAAUGUAAGGCUGCCAGCACCACCAUCACUGCCACCACCACCAAUGUCUUCUGCUUCAUAGCAAUAUUUCAUUAAGGCUACCACAACUUCAGAAAAAUUUUCUGCUACUGAUUAUCCUCCAACUCAAUCAACUUUAAAAGCAAUAGAAUCUUCACCUUACCAUUAUCCUGAAAAAUUAUCAGAUAGAAG
This 318-nucleotide unclassified non-coding RNA is filed under the name Hevea brasiliensis (rubber tree). Lineage: Eukaryota; Viridiplantae; Streptophyta; Magnoliopsida; Malpighiales; Euphorbiaceae. The record is from RNAcentral.